This 433-nucleotide ribosomal RNA is filed under the name uncultured bacterium. RNAcentral's name for it is "partial 16S ribosomal RNA". It matches the Rfam family "Bacterial small subunit ribosomal RNA", at positions 29 to 507 of the family's 1533-position model. The record is from RNAcentral.
AACGAACGCUGGCGGCAUGCCUAACACAUGCAAGUCGAACGAGACCUUCGGGUCUAGUGGCGCACGGGUGCGUAACGCGUGGGAACCUGCCCUUAGGUUCGGAAUAACUCCCCGAAAGGGGUGCUAAUACCGGAUAAUGUCUUCGGACCAAAGAUUUAUCGCCUUUGGAUGGGCCCGCGUUGGAUUAGCUAGUUGGUAGGGUAAAAGCCUACCAAGGCGACGAUCCAUAGCUGGUCUGAGAGGCUGAUCAGCCACACUGGGACUGAGACACGGCCCAGACUCCUACGGGAGGCAGCAGUGGGGAAUAGUGGAAAAUGGGCGAAAGCCUGAUGCAGCAAUGCCGCGUGAGUGAUGAAGGCCUUAGGGUUGUAAAGCUCUUUUAACCGGGAUGAUAAUGACAGUACCGGGAGAAUAAGCUCCGGCUAACUCCGUG